RNAcentral lists this ribosomal RNA (497 nucleotides) under uncultured bacterium. RNAcentral describes it as "partial 16S ribosomal RNA". It matches the Rfam family "Bacterial small subunit ribosomal RNA", at positions 28 to 507 of the family's 1533-position model. The record is from RNAcentral.
GAUGAACGCUGGCGGCGUGCCUAAUACAUGCAAGUCGAGCGAACAGACGAGGAGCUUGCUCUUCUGACGUUAGCGGCGGACGGGUGAGUAACACGUGGAUAACCUACCUAUAAGACUGGGAUAACUGCGGGAAACGGGAGCUAAUACUGGAAAAUAUAUUGAAACGAAUGGUUCAAUAGGGAAAGACGGCUUUGCUGUCACUUAAAGAUGGAUCAGCGCCGGAUUAGCUAGUUGGUAAGGUAACGGCUUACCAAGGAAACGAUUCGUAGCCGCCCUGAGAGGGUCAUCAGCCCCGCUGGUACUGGGACUCGUUCCUCACUCCUACGAGAGGCAGCAUUGGCGACUCCUCCGCAAUAGGCGUAAACCUGACCGAACCACGCCGCGUGUUUUAUGGUGCUCUUCUGUUCGUAAACCUCUUUUCUUGGUGAAGAUCAUAUGUGUGAGUAUCUCUACGCGUCUUGACGGUACCUAAUCAGUAAGCCCCGGCUAACUCCGUG